UAGAGUUUGAUCCUGGCUCAGAUUGAACGCUGGCGGCAGGCCUAACACAUGCAAGUCGAGCGGUAGCACAGAGAGCUUGCUCUCGGGUGACGAGCGGCGGACGGGUGAGUAAUGUCUGGGAAACUGCCUGAUGGAGGGGGAUAACUACUGGAAACGGUAGCUAAUACCGCAUAACGUCGCAAGACCAAAGUGGGGGACCUUCGGGCCUCAUGCCAUCAGAUGUGCCCAGAUGGGAUUAGCUAGUAGGUGGGGUAACGGCUCACCUAGGCGACGAUCCCUAGCUGGUCUGAGAGGAUGACCAGCCACACUGGAGCUGAGACACGGUCCAGACUCCUACGGGAGGCAGCAGUGGGGAAUAUUGCACAAUGGGCGCAAGCCUGAUGCAGCCAUGCCGCGUGUAUGAAGAAGGCCUUCGGGUUGUAAAGUACUUUCAGCGGGGAGGAAGGCGAUAAGGUUAAUAACCUUGUCGAUUGACGUUACCCGCAGAAGAAGCACCGGCUAACUCCGUGCCAGCAGCCGCGGUAAUA
This 527-nucleotide ribosomal RNA is filed under the name uncultured Klebsiella sp. RNAcentral describes it as "bacterial SSU rRNA". It matches the Rfam family "Bacterial small subunit ribosomal RNA", at positions 1 to 525 of the family's 1533-position model. Lineage: Bacteria; Pseudomonadati; Pseudomonadota; Gammaproteobacteria; Enterobacterales; Enterobacteriaceae. The record is from RNAcentral.